CUUGUUUAUGUAUUUAUGUUUGAUUUGGUGACGGAGACUAAUGACAAAUAGGAAUGAGAUAUGAUCUGAUAAAUGGAUAAGAUAACAGCCUCACUAGAUAUCCUGAGAGAUGGUGGACGGAUCGGGUUCAUAGGGGACUCUACCGUGAACGUUGUCUCAUACCGAACGUGGUAUGGAGACUUAGUCAUUUGGCGCUCAUACCGGACGGGGUAUGGGAACGACCCGCUUCACCCUCAUACCGGACGGGGUAUUGAGGUUUAAUGUCUUGACGCUCAUAUCGGACGGGGUAUAAGGACGACCCUGGAAUUAAGACAGUAAGGGAGAAUGGCUUACGUGUAGCGUGGACACCCCUUAUAGAUCCCAAUGGAUAUUAACAGGUUAGUGAAAACGAGAAACGGUGAUAAUCAAUGAUUGUUAAUGAAUACGGAUUUAUGAU
RNAcentral lists this long non-coding RNA (436 nucleotides) under Carica papaya (papaya). RNAcentral's name for it is "long non-coding RNA (CPAP_LNC004422)". The record is from RNAcentral. Lineage: Eukaryota; Viridiplantae; Streptophyta; Magnoliopsida; Brassicales; Caricaceae.